RNAcentral lists this ribosomal RNA (433 nucleotides) under uncultured bacterium. RNAcentral's name for it is "partial 16S ribosomal RNA". It matches the Rfam family "Bacterial small subunit ribosomal RNA", at positions 29 to 507 of the family's 1533-position model. The record is from RNAcentral.
AACGAACGCUGGCGGCAUGCCUAACACAUGCAAGUCGAACGAGACCUUCGGGUCUAGUGGCGCCCGGCUGCGUAACGCGUGGGAACCUGCCCUUAGGUUCGGAAUAACUCCCCGAAAGGGGUGCUAAUACCGGAUAAUGUCUUAGGACCAAAGAUUUAUCGCCUUUGGAUGGGCCCUCGUUGGAUUAGCUAGUUGGUAGGGUAAAAGCCUACCAAGGCGCCGAUCCAUAGCUGGUCGGAGAGGAUGCGCAGCCACACUGGGCCUGAGACACGGCCCAGACUCCUACGGGAGGGAGCAGUGGGGAAUAGUGGAAAAGGGGCGAAGGUCUGAUCCAGCAAUGCCGGGUGAGUGAUGAAGGCCUUAGGGUUGUAAAGCUCUUUUAACCGGGAUGAUAAUGACAGUACCGGGAGAAUAAGCACCGGCUAACUCCGUG